AUAAAAUAAGUGUUAACAUGACAUAGGUCUACAUAACAUGUCAAAUAUAAAUGAAAAAGUAUAUUAAAGAGGACUUUUAUUCACCCUAACAUGACUUAGUAAAACAUAUAUUCAAAAAGUUGUCAAAUGAACUUGAAAAAUAAUGCGUUAUAAUUAGGAAUGACAAUCGGGUACGGCGGGCACGGAUAGUGACCAUCCAUGCCCGUACCCGCGAGCGAAGGCAGUAUCCGCCACUCCACCCGUGACCCGUGACGGGUACUCUCUACCACCCUCACCCGUCAGCCGCAUAUACCUGCCACUCGUCCGGUACCCACUUCGUAUCCACCACCCGACCCGUGACCCAUGAUGGGUACUCUCUGCCACCCACACCCGUCACCUGCAGAUACCCGCCAUCCGUCGGGUAUCCGCUAACCCGCUACUCGUCAGAUACCUGCCACCCGCAAACUUAAAAAAGAAUAUAUAUAAAUAUUGCACAUAUUAAAUUAUGGAAUAAUAUAGCAAAAAAAAGAAAAUGUUCUAUAUAAAUUAAAAAUAUUACACUCAUGUCAAAGCUCGAUCAUUAUAUUACAACUAUCAUAGAAAGAAAAUGUUAAUUUUUAUUUUUGUCUUAAAUUUGAAUGAUUGAGAAGUAGGAGCUACAAAAUAGUUGUAGACUUGUAGCACACAGUGAGGGAUUUAUCUCGCCAGAAAAAUUAAACAUAGUAUAGUAAAUAAAGCAAACGCUACUUUCUUAAUUCACAUGCCAAAAAAGAAAAAAAAAGUAUUUUAGUUAUUUUCGUUCUUCUCAAAUUUCAAAAAAUUCACAUGCCAAUAUUCACAACUUCUCCACCAAUCAAAUUCUAAGUUUCACACUUUUUAUUUCACAACUCUCCUCGUUUUAGCAUGUCCAUCUCGUUCCAUCGAUUAAAUACCAUCACCAAGACACAGGAACCAACAACCUUGGUUGCUUCAUUGUUCCCUUGCAAUGAGAAGUUUUGAAAUGAACAAUGACCAAGUGAGCAAAAAAUGCACAUGCAGCAACAAUGACAUCUUAGCUGCAGUCAAUUCUAUAAAAUUUGGAAAAAUCAACCUAGCUCUUGUUACUUGUCUUUCACAUAGCAGUUUCCUAACAUCAUACCGAAUAUUCCUUUCUUUUUAUUUCAUACUACAUACAUAUGACAAAUUUAAUUAUGUUGCAUCUGUAAAAAUUGUAUGAGCCUUGCACUCCAACCAGGCAUAGCAACAAAAAUGUAUCAUUGAUUUUCGUAUGUACCAACCUCUGCUUCAGCCUGCCAAAUAAAUAGGGGUCACAAUAGCCAGAAUACGUUACACAAAUCCCAAGUCUCUAUUACCUGGGCAAAAUAAUCAUAAUUGAAACAUUGUAACAUGAAUAUAUAAUGAAUAACAAUGCAAAUCUAAUGAUUUUCUAAUACAAUCACAAUACUACUAUAAUUCAUAUAGAGUGCAGAUGUUGUGUGAAUGUAAUUUUCUUAAACAAAAAUUACAAUUCCAUAGCUAUAUAUUUAAUGCAGCAAUCACCAUAAAAGGUCUUAUGAGUAUCAAUUUAAGGGAUUCAAAUAAAUUCACAUUUCCUACGCUAUUACCAUUUGAUUCUCACCAUAAGAUUUCAAGAUUCAAAGCAAGCUACUACAACGGAAAAGGGGCAACCAAAGAUCCAAAAACUGCAUCCUGGGUUUUAAAAAGCCCGAGGCGCACGAGGCGCAAACAUGCCUCGGAGCCUAGGCGCAGGGCUUUAAGCGCAGGCGCGGGCUUUUCGUAGGCGAGGCGCAGUAAAGCCUAAAAAAUUCUAAUAUAUUUACCUACAUUAUAUUUUAUACCAAAAACACAACUUAAAACCACAAAUAGUACUUAAACACACAUAUACUUAAUCCAAAACACACAAAUACUUAAUCCAAAACACACAAAUACUUAAGUUUUAAAAUAUGCAAGUCUAAAAGUACGAUCAAAUAUCAAACAAGUAAUCAAAAAUCAUCAUCCUCAAGUCCAUCAUCCUCAAAUGCGUCAUCCCCAUCAUCUUUGUCUUCACCAAUGUCCUCUUCCAUCUCAUUCACUUCCCU
This 2057-nucleotide long non-coding RNA is filed under the name Salvia miltiorrhiza (redroot sage). RNAcentral's name for it is "long non-coding RNA (SMIL_LNC009189)". The record is from RNAcentral. Lineage: Eukaryota; Viridiplantae; Streptophyta; Magnoliopsida; Lamiales; Lamiaceae.